AGAGUUUGAUCCUGGCUCAGGAUGAACGCUAGCUACAGGCUUAACACAUGCAAGUCGAGGGGAAACGAUAUUGGAAGCUUGCUUCCGAUGGGCGUCGACCGGCGCACGGGUGAGUAACGCGUAUCCAACCUGCCCAUCACUUGGGGAUAACCUUGCGAAAGUAAGACUAAUACCCAAUGACGUCUCUAGAAGACAUCUGAAAGGGAUUAAAGAUUUAUCGGUGAUGGAUGGGGAUGCGUCUGAUUAGCUUGUUGGCGGGGUAACGGCCCACCAAGGCGACGAUCAGUAGGGGUUCUGAGAGGAAGGUCCCCCACAUUGGAACUGAGACACGGUCCAAACUCCUACGGGAGGCAGCAGUGAGGAAUAUUGGUCAAUGGGCGAGAGCUUGAACCAGCCAAGUAGCGUGCAGGAUGACGGCCCUAUGGGUUGUAAACUGCUUUUAUAAGGGAAUAAAGUGAGUCUCGUGAGACUUUUUGCAUGUACCUUAUGAAUAAGGACCGGCUAAUUCCGUGCCAGCAGCCGCGGUAAUACGGAAGGUCCGGACGUUAUCCGGAUUUAUUGGGUUUAAAGGGAGCGUAGGCCGGAGAUUAAGCGUGUUGUGAAAUGUAGAUGCUCAACGUCUGCACUGCAGCGCGAACUGGUUUCCUUGAGUACGCACAAAGUGGGCGGAAUUCGUGGUGUAGCGGUGAAAUGCUUAGAUAUCACGAAGAACUCCGAUUGCGAAGGCAGCUCACUGGAGCGCAACUGACGCUGAAGCUCGAAAGUGCGGGUAUCGAACAGGAUUAGAUACCCUGGUAGUCCGCACGGUAAACGAUGGAUGCCCGCUGUUGGUCUGAAUAGGUCAGCGGCCAAGCGGAAGCAUUAAGCAUCCCACCUGGGGAGUACGCCGGCAACGGUGAAACUCAAAGGAAUUGACGGGGGCCCGCACAAGCGGAGGAACAUGUGGUUUAAUUCGAUGAUACGCGAAGAACCUUACCUAGACUUGACAUCCCCGGCAAAUCUAUAGAGAUAUAGAGGAGGUUACCCGGGUGACAGGUGGUGCAUGGUUGUCGUCAGCUCGUGUCGUGAGAUGUUCGGUUAAGUCCGAUAACGAGCGCAACCCUCGUCGUUAGUUACUAACAGUUAGGCUGAGGACUCUAACGAGACUGCCGGUGAUAAACCGGAGGAAGAUGGGGAUGACGUCAAAUCAUCAUGCCCCUUACGUCUAGGGCUACAGGCGUGCUACAAUGGCCGACACAAAAAGAAGCAAAACCGUGAGGUGGAGCAAAUCUUAAAAAUCGGUCUCAGUUCGGAUUGAAGUCUGCAACUCGACUUCAUGAAGCUGGAAUCGCUAGUAAUCCUGAAUCAGAAUGUCAGGGUGAAUACGUUCCCGGGUGUUGUACUCACCGCCCGUCAAG
Molecule: ribosomal RNA, 1397 nt
Filed under: uncultured bacterium
Lineage: Bacteria
Description: bacterial SSU rRNA
Rfam family: Bacterial small subunit ribosomal RNA
Source: RNAcentral